GACGAACGCUGGCGGCGUGCCUAACACAUGCAAGUCGAGCGAAUGAAGUUCCUUCGGGAAUGGAUUUAGCGGCGGACGGGUGAGUAACACGUGGGCAACCUGCCUCAUAGAGGGGAAUAGCCUCCCGAAAGGGAGAUUAAUACCGCAUAAGAUUGUAGUACCGCAUGAUACAGCAAUUAAAGGAGCAAUCCGCUAUGAGAUGGGCCCGCGGCGCAUUAGCUAGUUGGUGAGGUAAUGGCUCACCAAGGCGACGAUGCGUAGCCGACCUGAGAGGGUGAUCGGACACACUGGGACUGAGACACGGCCCAGACUCCUACGGGAAGCAGCAGUGGGGAAUAUUGCACAAUGGGGGAAACCCUGAUGCAGCAACGCCGCGUGAGUGAUGACGGCCUUCGGGUUGUAAAGCUCUGUCUUCAGGGACGAUAAUGACGGUACCUGAGGAGGAAGCCACGGCUAACUACGUG
RNAcentral lists this ribosomal RNA (464 nucleotides) under uncultured bacterium. RNAcentral describes it as "partial 16S ribosomal RNA". It matches the Rfam family "Bacterial small subunit ribosomal RNA", at positions 28 to 507 of the family's 1533-position model. The record is from RNAcentral.